UCUAAUAUGGCAGAAUAGUGCAAUGAAUUUAAGCUUCAUAUAUAAAGAAAUAUAUCUUUUAUUAGAA
This 67-nucleotide transfer RNA is filed under the name Dybowskyia reticulata. Its description in RNAcentral is "tRNA-Leu". The record is from RNAcentral. Lineage: Eukaryota; Metazoa; Arthropoda; Insecta; Hemiptera; Pentatomidae.